UGCUGGGGCGAGUCUGCUCGCGAUAGCGUCAGCUCUGUCGACAUCGUUUUUGUCUGAUCCGCCGCUUUCGCGAGCAGGCUCGCUCCCACA
Molecule: unclassified non-coding RNA, 90 nt
Filed under: Pseudomonas reinekei
Lineage: Bacteria; Pseudomonadati; Pseudomonadota; Gammaproteobacteria; Pseudomonadales; Pseudomonadaceae
Source: RNAcentral